GUGUGUUCAGUCCGACCCCCCGGGACUGAACACCGAAGACCCCCGCCUCCUCCCCCCCCUGGCGGGGGUCUUCUCUG
Regulatory RNA element from Rhodococcus sp. RD6.2, 77 nucleotides. It matches the Rfam family "6C RNA". The record is from Rfam. NCBI's taxonomy places the organism in Bacteria, Bacillati, Actinomycetota, Actinomycetes, Mycobacteriales, Nocardiaceae.